This 253-nucleotide ribosomal RNA is filed under the name uncultured bacterium. RNAcentral's name for it is "partial 16S ribosomal RNA". It matches the Rfam family "Bacterial small subunit ribosomal RNA", at positions 524 to 776 of the family's 1533-position model. The record is from RNAcentral.
UACGAAGGGGGCUAGCGUUGUUCGGAAUCACUGGGCGUAAAGCGCACGUAGGCGGACACUUAAGUCAGAGGUGAAAUCCCAAGGCUCAACCUUGGAACUGCCUUUGAUACUGGGUGUCUUGAGUUCGGGAGAGGUGAGUGGAACUGCGAGUGUAGAGGUGAAAUUCGUAGAUAUUCGCAAGAACACCAGUGGCGAAGGCGGCUCACUGGCCCGAUACUGACGCUGAGGUGCGAAAGCGUGGGGAGCAAACAGG